CAGUAGCCGCGGUAACACGUAGGUGGCAAGCGUUGUCCGGAAUUAUUGGGCGUAAAGGGCUCGCAGGCGGUUUCUUAAGUCUGAUGUGAAAGCCCCCGGCUCAAUCGGGGAGGGUCAUUGGAAACUGGGAAACUUGAGUGCAGAAGAGGAGAGUGGAAUUCCACGUGUAGCGGUGAAAUGCGUAGAGAUGUGGAGGAACACCAGUGGCGAAGGCGACUCUCUGGUCUGUAACUGACGCUGAGGAGCGAAAGCGUGGGGAGCGAACAGGAUUAGAUACCCGGGUAGUCCCUGUCUCUUAUAC
RNAcentral lists this ribosomal RNA (301 nucleotides) under uncultured bacterium. RNAcentral describes it as "partial 16S ribosomal RNA". It matches the Rfam family "Bacterial small subunit ribosomal RNA", at positions 509 to 807 of the family's 1533-position model. The record is from RNAcentral.